AACGAACGCUGGCGGCAUGCUUAACACAUGCAAGUCGAACGAAACCUUCGUGUCUUUUUGCGCACGGCUGCUUAACGCGUGGGAACCUGCCCGUAGGUUCGGAAUACCUCCCCGAAAGGUGUGCUAAUACCGGUUAAGGUCUUCGGACCAAAGAUUUAUCGCGUUUGGAUGGGCCCGCGUUGGUUUAGCUAGUUGGUAGUGUAAAAGCCUAGCAAGGCGAGGAUCCAUAGCUGGUCUGAGAGGAGGAUCAGCCACACUGGGAAUGAGACACGGACCAGACUCCUACGGGAGGGAGCAGUGGGGAAUAUUGGACGAUGAGGGAAAACGUGACAAAGCAACGCCGCGUAAGUGAUGAAGGGCUUAGGGUUGUAAAGCUGUCUUAGACGGGAUGAUAAUGACAGUACCGGGAGAAGAAGCACCGGCUAACUACGUG
RNAcentral lists this ribosomal RNA (433 nucleotides) under uncultured bacterium. Its description in RNAcentral is "partial 16S ribosomal RNA". It matches the Rfam family "Bacterial small subunit ribosomal RNA", at positions 29 to 507 of the family's 1533-position model. The record is from RNAcentral.